Molecule: ribosomal RNA, 301 nt
Filed under: uncultured bacterium
Lineage: Bacteria
Description: partial 16S ribosomal RNA
Rfam family: Bacterial small subunit ribosomal RNA
Source: RNAcentral
CAGUCGCCGCGGUAAUACGAAGGGUGCAAGCGUUACUCGGAAUUACUGGGCGUAAAGCAUGCGUAGGCGGUGAGUUAAGUCUGCUGUGAAAUCCCCGGGCUCAACCUGGGAAUGGCAGUGGAUACUGGCUCGCUAGAGUGUGUCAGAGGAUGGUGGAAUUCCCGGUGUAGCGGUGAAAUGCGUAGAGAUCGGGAGGAACAUCAGUGGCGAAGGCGGCCAUCUGGGACAACACUGACGCUGAGGCACGAAAGCGUGGGGAGCAAACAGGAUUAGAUACCCCAGUAGUCCCUGUCUCUUAUAC